UACGGAGGGUGCGAGCGUUAAUCGGAAUUACUGGGCGUAAAGCGUGCGCAGGCGGUUUGUUAAGCGAGAUGUGAAAGCCCCGGGCUCAACCUGGGAACCGCAUUUCGAACUGGCAAACUAGAGUCUUGUAGAGGGGGGUAGAAUUCCAGGUGUAGCGGUGAAAUGCGUAGAGAUCGGGAGGAACACCAGUGGCGAAGGCGGCUUCCUGGCCUGUUACUGACGCUGAGAUGCGAAAGCGUGGGGAGCGAACGGG
RNAcentral lists this ribosomal RNA (253 nucleotides) under uncultured microorganism. RNAcentral describes it as "partial 16S ribosomal RNA". It matches the Rfam family "Bacterial small subunit ribosomal RNA", at positions 524 to 776 of the family's 1533-position model. The record is from RNAcentral.